Molecule: transfer RNA, 69 nt
Filed under: Ovis aries (sheep)
Lineage: Eukaryota; Metazoa; Chordata; Mammalia; Artiodactyla; Bovidae
Rfam family: tRNA
About the family: Transfer RNA (tRNA) molecules are approximately 80 nucleotides in length. Their secondary structure includes four short double-helical elements and three loops (D, anti-codon, and T loops). Further hydrogen bonds mediate the characteristic L-shaped molecular structure. tRNAs have two regions of fundamental functional importance: the anti-codon, which is responsible for specific mRNA codon recognition, and the 3' end, to which the tRNAs corresponding amino acid is attached (by aminoacyl-tRNA synthetases). tRNAs cope with the degeneracy of the genetic code in two manners: having more than one tRNA (with a specific anti-codon) for a particular amino acid; and 'wobble' base-pairing, i.e. permitting non-standard base-pairing at the 3rd anti-codon position.
Source: Rfam by way of RNAcentral
CCUGGUGGCUUAGGUGGUAAAGAACCUACCUGCAAUGUAGGAGACCCAGGUUCGAUACCUGGGUCAGGA